RNAcentral lists this long non-coding RNA (541 nucleotides) under Solanum tuberosum (potato). RNAcentral's name for it is "long non-coding RNA (STUB_LNC007007)". Lineage: Eukaryota; Viridiplantae; Streptophyta; Magnoliopsida; Solanales; Solanaceae. The record is from RNAcentral.
UGUGGGGUGUGGGGUGGGGGAGUAUGAGAGGUACUGACAAAACAAAGGCCUCAGUAGUAACUAGUUUGAGCUCAAGAAAGAGAAAGACAUACCAAAUUGAUGCAGCUCCAAAUAUCUACUGCAACAUGAAUAGUACAUAAAGUACAACCUUAAAAGAACAUUCACAAUGAAGUAGAGUUUUUCCGGAAAAAAAAUCUUGAAGUGUACCUUUCCACUUCGAAGGCAUGAAUUUACAUAAACUAAGAAAACAACACCACGACAAUAAGGUGACUGCACAAAAUAUAGAGACUAAACUGGAGUGGAUGCAGCUGUUGACCAUUUCAAUUUUCGUCUCCACCUCCUGAAUUUGUUUAAGGAAAAUUAGAGUCAUCAUCACACAAGGGAGAACUGAAUCCAAUGUGCAGGAAAUUCGUUGUAAAGUUCGAGAAGUCCUCCUACCUUGAAUGUUUUCAUGGAGCAGCCGAAAGAAUCAGAGUACGGGAAUUUUCUUUCAGUGUCUGGCUGCAAUUUCUGUAGGAGUCUUGACAAUAUCGAAUGGUGA